AACGAACGCUGGCGGCAUGCCUAACACAUGCAAGUCGAACGAGACCUUCGGGUCUAGUGGCGCACGGGUGCGUAACGCGUGGGAACCUGCCCUUAGGUUCGGAAUAACUCCCCGAAAGGGGUGCUAAUACCGGAUAAUGUCUUCGGACCAAAGAUUUAUCGCCUUUGGAUGGGCCCGCGUUGGAUUAGCCAGUUGGUAGGGUAAAAGCCUACCAAGGCGACGAUCCAUAGCUGGUCUGAGAGGAUGAUCAGCCACACUGGGACUGAGACACGGCCCAGACUCGUACGGGAGGCAGCAGUGGGGAAUCUUGGACAAUGGGCGAAAGCCUGAUCCAGCAAUGCCGGGAGAGUGAUGAAGGCCUUAGGGUUGUAAAGCUCUUUUACCCGGGAUGAUAAGGACAGUACCGGGAGAAUAAGCCCCGGCUAACUCCGU
RNAcentral lists this ribosomal RNA (432 nucleotides) under uncultured bacterium. Its description in RNAcentral is "partial 16S ribosomal RNA". It matches the Rfam family "Bacterial small subunit ribosomal RNA", at positions 29 to 506 of the family's 1533-position model. The record is from RNAcentral.